RNAcentral lists this ribosomal RNA (337 nucleotides) under Stylocellus novaguinea. RNAcentral's name for it is "SSU rRNA". It matches the Rfam family "Eukaryotic small subunit ribosomal RNA", at positions 1473 to 1804 of the family's 1831-position model. Lineage: Eukaryota; Metazoa; Arthropoda; Arachnida; Opiliones; Stylocellidae. The record is from RNAcentral.
UUAGAUGUCCGGGGCCGCACGCGCGCUACACUGAAGGAAUCAGCGUGUGCUUACCCCUGUCCGGCAGGAUUGGGUAACCCGUUGAACCUCCUUCGUGAUAGGGAUAGGGGCUUGUAAUUAUUCCCCUUGAACGAGGAAUUCCCAGUAAGCGCGAGUCAUAAGCUCGCGUUGAUUACGUCCCUGCCCUUUGUACACACCGCCCGUCGCUACUACCGAUUGAAUGAUUUAGUGAGGUCUUCGGACUGGUGCUCGGAGCGGCUUUCGGGUCGCGCCGAUGUACCGGAAAGAUGACCAAACUUGAUCAUUUAGAGGAAGUAAAAGUCGUAACAAGGUUUCC